Molecule: long non-coding RNA, 472 nt
Filed under: Manacus vitellinus (golden-collared manakin)
Lineage: Eukaryota; Metazoa; Chordata; Aves; Passeriformes; Pipridae
Description: lncRNA (ENSMVIG00005009529.1)
Source: RNAcentral
GGGACAGUCCCUCCUGUGAGGACACGGGAGGUUCCCAAGGGCAGGAAUUCGCUGCUGCUCCUGGGUGGUGUCCUCGGGGUUGGAUUUGGGGGGACGAGGGGGGUCUUGGCCUUGAUGGUCUUGGGGGUCUCUUCCAACCCUGGUGACUCGUUGGCAGUGGUUGACCUUGAUGGUCUUGGGGGUCUCUUCCAACCCUGGUAACUCGUUGGCAGUGGUUGACCUUGAUGGUCUUUGAGGUCUCUUCCAACCCUGGUAACUCGUUGGCAAUGGUUGACCUUGAUGACCUUUGAGGUCUCUUCCCACCUGGAUGACUUGGUGAUAAUGGUUGGACUCGAUGACCUUUGGAGGUCUCUUCCAACCCUGGUGACUCGUUGGCAAUGGUUGGACUCGAUGACCUUUGAGGUCUCUUCCAACCUUGGUGACUCGUUGGCAGUGGUUGGACUUGAUGGUCUUGGGGGUCUCUUCCAACCCU